UCAAAAAAAAAAAAAAAAAAAAAUAUGCAUUACUAUGUUCAUUGCAGUGGUAUUUAUAAUAAUCAAAACACGGAAACAAAGUAUUCAUUGACAUAUGAAUGGAUAAAUUGUGGUGCGUGUAUAUAUACAUGAAGAAAUAUUAUUCAGCCUUAAAAAUAGUAUAUCCUGAAAUUUGCUAUAACAUGGAUGAACCAAGACAAGAGGACAUUAUGCUAAGCGAAAUAACCAGACAGAAAGAAAAUACUGCAUGACCUCCCUUGUAUGUGGACUCUUAAAAAAAAAAAAAAAAAAAAGUCAAAUCUAUAGAAAUAAGAGAAUAAAACAGUGGUCACCAGAGGAUGGCGGGGGGAAGGAAAAAGGGAGAUCAAAGGAUACAAAGUUGCAGAUAUAUAGGAUGAGUAAGUCUAGAAAUAUAAUGCAGAACACAUAAGGACUAUUAAUAGUAUUGUGUAAUACACCAACUUUAUAUAAUACAGUAUUAUAUAAUAGGUUGUUGUACCAACCUAUUAUAUUUGGGAUAUUUGCCAAGAAUAGAUUUUAUGUGCCCUUGCCACAUACACACAAAGAUGAAUGAAUACAUUAAUUUGAUUAUAGUAACCAUUUCACUAUGUAUAUCAUGUUAUACACCUUAAAUAUAUACAAUAAGAAAACUACUUUUUUGAAAUAUUGAAGACUUAAAUAGUAAAAAUAUAAUAGAAAAUAUUGUAAAUCUAAUAAAAUCCUUUAACCUUAAUACUUACUGACAUUGUUGUAUGUAGAUAAAUGACCUCCUUACUGGAAUUCUACAAGCUAAAUUUUGGUGAUGCCAUGAUCACAAACCAAGCAUGCUUCUACUUUGUUUUGGAUUUUCAUUUGCUUUAAACUCUUAAAUAGAAAACUUUUGAGAGGCUAAGGUUUAAGUAAAAUCUCAUAUAAGAGAGUCAAAAAGCUAUCAAUUAACUAGUAUUGUUAGGAAAAAAAAGUGUUAGAUUAUUCAUACAGUCUACAACUAAAAAGAUAUACAACCAGAUCUCAAAGUAGUGAGGGCAAAAAAGAAGUUAAAUAAAAUAACAUUUAAUAAAUUAUUAAUUGUAAUAUGUUGUAUUAAUGAUUACUGAUCAGAAAUAAUUAGACUAUCUAGUAAGUUAGAAAUAUUAAAACCUAAAGUAUUAAUUUUAUUUUGUGACAUCUUCAAUUUAUUUCUCUCGGCUAUUUUAUACAGAAGUAUUUGCAUUAUUUUAAAAAGGUUCUCUCAAUAUAUUACUCCUCUGAUCAUUUAUCUGACUUAUCCUUCCCAGUAUUGUUUUUACCAGUGCUUGCAUACACGUGUUCAUUCAUCUGUUGCAUCUUUUGUGUGCUGUUACAGAAUAUGUAAAAAUGAGCAAAGAUGUUAAAGAAGAUAAGCCAAAGGUAUCAAUGGUAUUAUAGAGGAUACAAAGAAUUAUGAUCGGAUAUUGAAGAGGAUGAUUUUUGUUUAGUGUCCAACAUGCCCAUUUGCUGUGCAUUUUAUUUCCAGAGAUGUUGUCAAAAACACCAGGUAAUCUAGAAAAUAAUUUGCUUACUAUGUUAUAAAACAUUAGCCUAUGACUUUAAGACCUUGAUUUUUAAUGUAGUCAAAGUUUACUGAAAGCAAUGUAUUACAUGUGUGUAAAUAAUAUGUAAAUAUAUCUUAUAUUACAUGUUCUACUGUAAACUAAGUUAAAUUUCUACACAUUGUUUAUACAUUUUUAAAAUCUCAUUCAUUUUAAGUCUCUCCACUUGAAAAGAGUUAUAUUGGUCCAUAUGGGGGGAAAAAAACCAUAUACAUCAUUCCCCAUUGUGCUGUCAUAACACUUAAGAGAUGAUUAAUGCUACAUUCUAAUCAUAUAAAGUCCUUUUCCUCCAAAUCUGUUGUAUUCACUAAAAACAGCAAUAGUAUAGACUAAAUGAUUUGAUGAUUUUCUCAUACUUACGCAGUAUGAUCUCUUUUUUCCACUGCCUGUGAAUCAGGUAUAACAUCCUGGAGUUCAUCUAAAUAAAACAAGUAUUAUUAUAUUUUCAUUUUUUUUCAUGCAGUUGGCAGUGGGAUGGGGAGUUAGUAUAGAAACGUAUAAAGGUUCACGUAUUAGGAUGAAUGGAUUGAUCGAUUUUGCGUCCUCUUAGACCCAAACUUCUGGGGAACAAAGGUUGUAUAUUUCUUUGUAACCUCAAAAAUUCCUUGCACAAAGUCAAACAAAUUCUUUGUAAAUCUUUUUCAAAUCAAUGAAAGCCAGUGGAGUUAAAGGAAAAUACAGGGAGAAGUAUGUUUUCAAAAAAAAAUGACUAAAAUUAAAUUAAACCACAAGAUACUUACCAAAA
Macaca mulatta (Rhesus monkey) is the source of this 2316-nucleotide non-coding RNA. The record is from RefSeq and is a predicted model, not a curated record. NCBI's taxonomy places the organism in Eukaryota, Metazoa, Chordata, Mammalia, Primates, Cercopithecidae.